CUCGCAGUAUAUUUUUGUGUUUUGUUUCGUUUUGCAAUCCAAAUCACAGGAUUAUACUGUGAG
This is a non-coding RNA of Drosophila melanogaster (fruit fly), 63 nucleotides long. Its record names the gene mir-308. NCBI's taxonomy places the organism in Eukaryota, Metazoa, Arthropoda, Insecta, Diptera, Drosophilidae. The record is from Ensembl.